RNAcentral lists this long non-coding RNA (617 nucleotides) under Struthio camelus australis. Its description in RNAcentral is "lncRNA (ENSSCUG00000010391.1)". The record is from RNAcentral. Lineage: Eukaryota; Metazoa; Chordata; Aves; Struthioniformes; Struthionidae.
UUCUCUGUUACCCUAGGACUGAGGCAGACUACCUAGCCUAUAGUUGCCUUUCAUCCUUUCCAUUGUCAGAAAAAAAAAUGGAUUUUAAGGAAGAACAAACAGGAGCUUCUCUGUUUUGCAGGCACCAAGACUGGCUGAUGAGAUCUUUGGAUGCAAAUCAAUAGUGCUACCUCAGUGAGGUGCCUGUAUCCUAAGAAUGCAGAGAAAAUCGAGAAAGUGAGAGCACUGAAGCACAGUCUCAUUUGUCUGUGCCCAUCUUCUCAGAUGGCCAAAGGUUCUCAGCCAGCACCCACAGGCGUGAGCACAUGCAGUAAUGUCCCAUCUGAACAGGAAGGAGAGGCCACGGGGCUCGCUGAUACACCAGGGAACUUUGAUUUCACUGGCAGAUGCUAAUUUGUGCUGCAUUGUCUUUACUUCAGAUAUACAGUAGCUCAGAUCAUGCUGGAUGCAACACACCAUGCUGCUGUUUCAGUAUGGGGAUGACAGACCAUCUUUAUCAGCUCUCUUGCGGUUUGAACUCUUUUCACUAGUGUCUAAGCUGCCAUUCCACUCAACUGUGAUGACUGGUAAGGGGAAGAGGAAAAGGCAAAAAAUAAAUAAAUAAAGCAAAAACUACA